This 253-nucleotide ribosomal RNA is filed under the name uncultured bacterium. RNAcentral describes it as "partial 16S ribosomal RNA". It matches the Rfam family "Bacterial small subunit ribosomal RNA", at positions 524 to 776 of the family's 1533-position model. The record is from RNAcentral.
UACGUAUGGUGCAAGCGUUAUCCGGAUUUACUGGGUGUAAAGGGAGCGUAGACGGAGAAGCAAGUCUGGAGUGAAAGCCCGGGGCUCAACCCCGGGACUGCUUUGGAAACUGUUUGUCUAGAGUGCCGGAGAGGUAAGCGGAAUUCCUAGUGUAGCGGUGAAAUGCGUAGAUAUUAGGAGGAACACCAGUGGCGAAGGCGGCUUACUGGACGGUAACUGACGUUGAGGCUCGAAAGCGUGGGGAGCAAACAGG